UGCAGGAGUGAGCCUGCUCGCGAUGGCGUGCGUCCAGUCACUGAAUGUGUUGAAUGUGAUUGCGCUAUCGCGAGCAGGCUCACUCCUGCA
This 90-nucleotide unclassified non-coding RNA is filed under the name Pseudomonas granadensis. Lineage: Bacteria; Pseudomonadati; Pseudomonadota; Gammaproteobacteria; Pseudomonadales; Pseudomonadaceae. The record is from RNAcentral.